GUGGUUCAGUGGUAGAAUUCUCACCUUCCAUGUGGAAGACCUGGGUUUGGUUCCCAGC
RNAcentral lists this transfer RNA (58 nucleotides) under Loxodonta africana (African savanna elephant). It matches the Rfam family "tRNA", at positions 7 to 64 of the family's 71-position model. Rfam says of the family: Transfer RNA (tRNA) molecules are approximately 80 nucleotides in length. Their secondary structure includes four short double-helical elements and three loops (D, anti-codon, and T loops). Further hydrogen bonds mediate the characteristic L-shaped molecular structure. tRNAs have two regions of fundamental functional importance: the anti-codon, which is responsible for specific mRNA codon recognition, and the 3' end, to which the tRNAs corresponding amino acid is attached (by aminoacyl-tRNA synthetases). tRNAs cope with the degeneracy of the genetic code in two manners: having more than one tRNA (with a specific anti-codon) for a particular amino acid; and 'wobble' base-pairing, i.e. permitting non-standard base-pairing at the 3rd anti-codon position. Lineage: Eukaryota; Metazoa; Chordata; Mammalia; Proboscidea; Elephantidae. The record is from Rfam by way of RNAcentral.